Molecule: transfer RNA, 76 nt
Filed under: Lentisphaeria bacterium
Lineage: Bacteria; Pseudomonadati; Lentisphaerota; Lentisphaeria
Description: tRNA-Pro
Rfam family: tRNA
About the family: Transfer RNA (tRNA) molecules are approximately 80 nucleotides in length.
Source: RNAcentral
CAGAGUGUAACGCAGCGGCAAGCGUGCCUGCCUUGGAUGCAGGGAGUCGCAGGUUCGAAUCCUGCCACUCUGACCA